Molecule: ribosomal RNA, 99 nt
Filed under: uncultured bacterium
Lineage: Bacteria
Description: partial 16S ribosomal RNA
Rfam family: Bacterial small subunit ribosomal RNA
Source: RNAcentral
CCCACCGCCCGUCACGCCAUGGAAGCUGGGGGGACCUGAAGCCGGUGGGCUAACUCGCAAGAGAGGCAGCCGUCAAAGGUCAAUUCAGUGACUGGGGCG